Molecule: long non-coding RNA, 645 nt
Organism: Drosophila obscura
Lineage: Eukaryota; Metazoa; Arthropoda; Insecta; Diptera; Drosophilidae
Exons: 2
Source: RefSeq, a predicted model, not a curated record
ACAAUGCCGACCUUUUCGUUCUUUUUAACCUGCGACAUUUUUGUUUAGCGUGUGUCUGACUUUUUCUAUUAUUUUUUUGUUUGUUUUUGUUUUGUGCUGCAGAGCAUUCAGUCAAUCACAGACCAACCUAGACGACAGUGCAGAGGCGUUUGAACAAUUGUAGAACAGCGCAACCGGUUUAAUAUUAAGGCGAUAAGGCGGCUGACAAGCGACAGAGGUGAACCCGAAACCUCCAAGUGCUCUCUGAGGUGUUGGUAGCCGUGUUUGGUGAUUUUUUAAAGAGAUAAUAAGAGCCCCCCUCCAGCUACAGCUCAACUAUUAUGCGAUACCCACUCGUGUGUGCAGUUUAUCGCCGUACAUUUGCCGGGGGGUUACGGUACGGGUACUCGUACUCCGAUUUCCAAAUGGGGGGCUGUUGUGUUUGUGUCUAUCAAAGAUGCCCUUAAUUUGACAUUUAUUAUUAAUUCCAACACGGCAAGCGGAGUGGAGAGUGGUGACCGUAUACUAUACGGCGCAUAGUGAUGACUCGUAUAAUUGCUAACCAAAAACAAAUGCAGCAGCAGUAGGUGCAUAGCUCUAAGUGGAAAUGCUUCAAUGUUGUCUCUUAGAAAUAAAUAAAUAAAUCAUAUUGUGGAAUACAUAAAA